GAGAGGUACCGAAGCGGUCAUAACGGCGCUGACUCGAAAUCAGAUGGUUAGGGUAACCUGGUACAUGGGUUCGAAUCCCAUCCUCGCCA
Molecule: transfer RNA, 89 nt
Filed under: Nitrosomonas sp.
Lineage: Bacteria; Pseudomonadati; Pseudomonadota; Betaproteobacteria; Nitrosomonadales; Nitrosomonadaceae
Description: tRNA-Ser
Rfam family: tRNA
About the family: Transfer RNA (tRNA) molecules are approximately 80 nucleotides in length. Their secondary structure includes four short double-helical elements and three loops (D, anti-codon, and T loops).
Source: RNAcentral